GUGCUCGCUUUGGCAGCACAUAUACUAAAAUUGGAAGGAUACAGAGAAGAUUAGCACGGUCCUUGCGCAAGGAUGCCACGCAAAUUCCUGAAGCGCUCCAUAUUUUU
Molecule: small nuclear RNA, 107 nt
Organism: Pan paniscus (pygmy chimpanzee)
Lineage: Eukaryota; Metazoa; Chordata; Mammalia; Primates; Hominidae
Source: Ensembl